AACGAACGCUGGCGGCAUGCCUUACACAUGCAAGUCGAACGGCAGCACGGGGCACCCUGGUGGCGAGUGGCGAACGGGUGAGUAAUGCAUCGGAACGUACCUUUCAGUGGGGGAUAACGUAGCGAAAGUUACGCUAAUACCGCAUAUUCUGUGAGCAGGAAAGCAGGGGAUCGCAAGACCUUGCGCUGAUUGAGCGGCCGAUGUCAGAUUAGCUAGUUGGUGAGGUAAAGGCUCACCAAGGCGACGAUCUGUAGCGGGUCUGAGAGGAUGAUCCGCCACACUGGAACUGUGAAACGGUCCAGACUCCUACGGGAGGCAGCAGUGGGGAAUUUUGGACAAUGGGGGCAACCCUGAUCCAGCCAUGCCGCGUGAGUGAAGAAGGCCUUCGGGUUGUAAAGCUCUUUCGGCCGGGAAGAAAUCGCACGGGCUAAUACCCUGUGUGGAUGACGGUACCGGAAUAAGAAGCACCGGCUAACUACGUGCCAGCCGCCGCAGUAA
This 498-nucleotide ribosomal RNA is filed under the name uncultured bacterium. RNAcentral describes it as "partial 16S ribosomal RNA". It matches the Rfam family "Bacterial small subunit ribosomal RNA", at positions 29 to 523 of the family's 1533-position model. The record is from RNAcentral.